RNAcentral lists this long non-coding RNA (1371 nucleotides) under Pan troglodytes (chimpanzee). RNAcentral describes it as "long non-coding RNA NONPTRT004247". The record is from RNAcentral. Lineage: Eukaryota; Metazoa; Chordata; Mammalia; Primates; Hominidae.
GCUGCGCAGAGCCCCUCAGUCAGCAGGACCGCGCUCACGGUUCAGUGCGCCGUCUGCUAGAGGCUUUCCGCAGUUCAGUCCUUCUCCCCACACAACUCUGAAGGUAAGAUGUCUAUUAUCACACCGUCCCACUUUACAGUGAGGAAACGGAGGUCCAGGGAGGUGAAGGCUCUGGCCCAAUCACAGACUAGUGAGGGAUAGAGCCCGGAUUUGGACCCAGGCAGUCGGACCCCAAGUCCAUACCCUGGGCCUCACGCUGGAUUGUUCCAGAUCCCACACCAGCUCCCGCAGGUCCUCGCCAGUGUCAGCCCUCAGCAGGCUCCCCCCGCCCAUUGUGCUCCACUCACCCCGCCUCCCCCUGCAGGCAGGGCACAUGCGCACCUGCAGACCUUUGGCAUCUCCCCUCCCCUCGCCACCUGGCUGAAUUGUCCCCUUCACCCCUCUGAGCCUCCCUCCUCCUCAAGGACACCCCGGCCUCCUGAUCUAGAGGAUGGAGCACCGGGAGAAAGCACAGGUGUGUUUCUCCCUGGCUGCUGCUGGUCUCCCCAGUUGGUCUAUAUGACCCAGGAAGUCAUGUCCAGGUCUGUGUCCUCUGCCGUCGUGUAUGCUGGCAAAGCAUGAUACCAGCACACAGGAGGGGAAGUCAGUAUCCUCGUGAUGGGCAGAACGGAUGAGCAUCGAUGCAGAGGUGCUGGGAGGACAGCCCGUGGCCCAAAUGAGAGCUUGGUGAUCUACCACUGCCCCAUGGAGGGGGCACCUGCCAGUCAAUCUGGAGAGGGGCGUGUGCUGGCAAAAGAGGGUGCCCCUGAGCUAAAGCCCUGGUAGGAGGGUGGAGGAGAGGGAAAGGACUCAAGAAGGACUUCUGAGUGGGCGAUACACUGGAAGUGGGGAGUGAGGAGACUGAAGCAUCCAAGGUGGUGCCCGGGUGGCAGGCUGGUGUGCUGGGAUGGAAAUGAAGAGAAGACACGGGGCUGCCCUCAGAAGGGGUGGUGGCUGGGAAGAGGAAAAGCAGUCAGCCCUAAGUACUUAAAGUAUCUGGCAAUUUAUAGCAAGUGUCAUUAAAGGGGAAAAAGUUGUGGGGAGAAGAAUGUUUUUGGAAUUUGUGACCUCCACACGGGCUGAGGCAUUUCUCCUUGAGGUGCCUGCUCUGGCCACCUGAGCAGGCCCCGACUCACAGAAGAUGGAGGAGACACCAAAAUGCUCUCUCUUCUUCCUAAAAUGCAUAGGCCUGACUCAGGGCAGGGGAAGUCGUCGGGAAAAACCACGCUCAUGGCUCUGCCAUUGUCUCCGUGUGUGCAGACAUCAGCUACCCUCACUGGGCCUGAGAUAUUCAUCUCUCCAAUAAGCUUAGAUCAGAAAGGCCAUCUUGCA